Molecule: unclassified non-coding RNA, 1677 nt
Filed under: Hevea brasiliensis (rubber tree)
Lineage: Eukaryota; Viridiplantae; Streptophyta; Magnoliopsida; Malpighiales; Euphorbiaceae
Source: RNAcentral
AAAAAAAAAAAAAAAAUUCUUGUCACGUUUGACGUUGAAAUUUUGAAGAUGGAGAUGUGGUACUUUUCCCUUGAUUUGGUAGUGGAUGAAUUCUAAUAGAAUGCUUUUGGUUCUGAGAUAAGUGGUAGUCGUGAAUUCUGUUGUUGAUGCUGAUGAUCUGCUUGAAAUGGUGUGAUACGGAUUAUUACUGCAAUGGGCUACCAGGGCUAGCAUGUUUACCUUGCUGUCGCUGAUAUGUUUAUAAUUAAUAUGAUAGAAAGUAGUCUUCUUUUUCUCCUUUCUAUUUUUUAACGAUAAUUACUUACUGUGGCUAGAGUUGUUGGCAUGGUGGCAUUUUAUAGGAUGUUGAUGUGGGAUAUUUCUGAAUUUCUGCAUGAAAAAUUCAUAAUGGUAAUCAGGGUUAGUGUUAGAUUGGUUAUAAAAUGGUUAAAGGAUUGUCAUGUUCACCUUGCUGGUACGUUUGUGAUCAUUACGAUAAGAAUUCUUCUCCUCCUCUUUAUUCUUUAACAAUGUUUACUUAUUGUGCUGGCCUUGUUAGCAUGAUGGGAGAUAUCUGAUUUUCAGUGUUAAAUUGGUUAUGCAUCUAUAACCAUUAUUGUAACAUUUUACAGUUAUUCAAACAGUGAAACGGUGAUCACGAGAAAUUUAGAGAGAAAACAAUAAUGGGAAGAACAUAGGUAGUUGAGGAGACUGUUUGGAAUUGUCUUGCCCACUUUAAUGUUUAACAUAUCUUUCCUGCUGUGUACUGAUAACAAUGUCGAAACGCCUGUCCCUGUCUCUGUCCUUGUACCAUGUCCAGCUAGCCUUGCAUUUGUUGUAAUUGUAGCAACAUGGUCUAAAUACCUUUUUCUUUCUUCUUUCUUCUUUCUCAGUUUAGCAGUUAUAACCCAGAUAAUUCUUCAAAUUGUGAAAGUAAUAAUUGGCAUGAAUGCUUCUAGGUUGAAUCUUGUAUCAAUUCUGUAAAUAUGUGAAAUGCACCAAUUUGGCACUAUUUCAUGAUUAUUUUAUUGUAUUCAAAUUUAUAUUUAUCAAUAUGCAUGUAUUUGUAUAGAUAGAUAGGUUUACCUGAAUUAAAUUUUUGAAGAAAAGUUUGAGAAUAUCUAUUUUUCUAUCUCGAGACUUGAGGAAAAAAGUUCAACUACACUUGAAAUUCCUUGCUUGAGGAGCAGGGUGACACUUUGUUUAACUGCCCCCCUUGGCUUAAUUUUCACCCUUUUUGUCCCUUGUUUUGAUCUUUACUUAAUUCUAAUGGGCAUGGCUAUGAGGAAUACCACAUUAAUUAAACUUUGUACUCUCUUCUUUGCUGUGGAUGAAAAUGUGUUUUGUCUUGUGUGGACUUACCAGUUCUGGAAGGCAAUGCAAUUUAUGAUGGCACUUGUGGAACUCUUGAUAUUUUUCUUCUUCUUCGAAAAUUUUCUACUAAACAAUGUAGCACUUAAUCCAAUACUAUUGCUAGAAGCAUUAACUCCCUGGUUCUAUUCCCAAAUUCCUUUUCCUUUUUAGGGAGAGGCUAUAUUAAUGUCUUAUUUCUUGCUUUCUGAUUUUUUUUUUUAAAGCAGCCAUGGGAAAUGUCUUAAGAGUAUAGUGAUUGCUUAUCUUAUUUUCCAUGCUUUUGCUUAGGUGACAUCAUUGCUUAAUGAUGCGAAGGCAGGUGCUCCCUUGAAUGUCUCUGGAAAC